UACAGAGGGUGCGAGCGUUGUUCGGAAUUAUUGGGCGUAAAGGGCGCGUAGGCGGCGCGGGAAGUCCGUGGUGAAAGCCCGAGGCUCAACUUCGGGUCGGCCAUGGAUACUCCUGGGCUUGAGCACUGUAGAGGCAGGUGGAAUUCCGGGUGUAGCGGUGGAAUGCGUAGAGAUCCGGAAGAACACCCGUGGCGAAGGCGGCCCUG
This 206-nucleotide ribosomal RNA is filed under the name uncultured bacterium. RNAcentral's name for it is "partial 16S ribosomal RNA". It matches the Rfam family "Bacterial small subunit ribosomal RNA", at positions 524 to 728 of the family's 1533-position model. The record is from RNAcentral.